CAUUUCACUCAGGGGGGUUGUAUCAGGGCGUCCGGUUGCCUCUGCUUCUAUGGGUUUGGUGACUUUCUACCUGCACACUCUGCAGAAACAACAUGUCAUCUGUUCGCCCCCACACACCGGCCUCCUGCUGUAAUUACAGAAACGUGCUGCCUGCACACUGAGAGCUCGAUGACUGAGAGGUAACACGACCUUCCCUCUCCUCCUCCCCCUCUCCCUCCUCUACAUGCGACAACACUUCAUUCAUUCAUGCAGGAGGUCAGACUGGUUUAUCCCGCAGACACAGACUAUCAUGUUAAUCUGUUUUGGCAUUAUUUCAGAUUCUUAAGCUCCUCUUUUAGAGUUUCUCUAAAUUUUUCCUCCCCUAUAAACUCUUCAAUUUAAAAUGGCAAAAAAUACCAGCACAAGUUUUAAAAUUGACAGCAUCAGCACUUAACAGAGGCAAUAAAUUUAAUUUAAUUCAAUGUGCAAAUACAUAAGGUCCUAUAUGGUGCUACAAGAUGCAUGCAUGUGUGAGUCAUGCAUUAGGUAGGAUAAUAGAUGCAUAAUAGAUCAAUAGGUGAGUAAAAAGAAGAAACCAUGGCAAAAGCGAGGAAAAUAAGACUGCUGUAAAAAUGCUCCUGCUACCUUUGACUGUAUACAGGAUGAAAAAGGACAGAUGAGUGAAAACAUGUCCGUGCGGGAGACUAUAAGGACAGGAAGGAAGUAGAGAGUGUGUCCUGUGCUUUAGAUAAGAGUAAUGGAGCAGAGAUUUUAUCACACACUCUCAGGAAACCCUGUUGCUACUGAACACAUGAAGAGGAACAUCUUCAUCCAAGUAAAAAAACAAACUCUAACUUCCUUAGAGCCUGCAGGAAAAUCACCCCCUCCUCACACAAAACAGCUACAUACCAGCCCCUCUGCAGCCAAACACACCUGUCUUUAUCAGACGCAUUCUCAUUUAACUAAAAUGCUGUUUGGAAAGACACUGGGUCAUGCAUUAUAAGAUAAAAAGAGUUAAAACUAAGAAGCAUCCUCCAGGGCAAGGUUCAAAAAGUCACACUUUUCCCUAAAAUCUAUUAAUUGAGGACUGAAAGGGUUAGAAACAGGUUUUUCAUGCCUAUGCAUGCACACUUCAGUCAUCCUCCAGCCUG
Xyrichtys novacula (pearly razorfish) is the source of this 1130-nucleotide non-coding RNA. NCBI's taxonomy places the organism in Eukaryota, Metazoa, Chordata, Actinopteri, Labriformes, Labridae. The record is from the annotation of a GenBank genome assembly.